Molecule: ribosomal RNA, 253 nt
Filed under: uncultured bacterium
Lineage: Bacteria
Description: partial 16S ribosomal RNA
Rfam family: Bacterial small subunit ribosomal RNA
Source: RNAcentral
UACGUAGGUGGCGAGCGUUGUCCGGAUUUACUGGGCGUAAAGGGAGCGUAGGCGGACUUUUAAGUGAGAUGUGAAAUACUCGGGCUCAACUUGAGUGCUGCAUUUCAAACUGGAAGUCUAGAGUGCAGAAGAGGAGAAUGGAAUUCCUAGUGUAGCGGUGAAAUGCGUAGAGAUUAGGAAGAACACCAGUGGCGAAGGCGAUUCUCUGGACUGUGACUGACGCUGAGGCUCGAAAGCGUGGGGAGCAAACAGG